CAAUAGCGUAUAUUAAAGUUGUUGCGGUUAAAAGCUCGUAGUUGGAUUUCUGCCGAGGACGACCGGUCCGCCCUCUGGGUGAGCAUCUGGGACGGCCUGGGCAUCCUCUUGGGGAACGUAGCUGCACUUGACUGUGUGGUGCGGUAUCCAGGACUUUUACUUUGAGGAAAUUAGAGUGUUCACGGCAGGCAAUCGCCCUGAAUACAUUAGCAUGGAAUAAUAAUAUAGGACUUCGGCCCUAUUUUGUUGGUUUCUAGAGCUGAAGUAAUGAUUAAUAGGGACACUUGGGGGCAUUCGUAUUAUCACGUCAGAGGUGGAAUUCUUGGAUUGUGUUACGACGAACUACUGCGAAAGCAUUUGCCAAGGAUGUUUUCAUUGAUCAAGAACGAAAGAUAGGGGAUCGAAGAUGAUCAGAUACCAU
RNAcentral lists this ribosomal RNA (421 nucleotides) under uncultured eukaryote. RNAcentral's name for it is "bacterial SSU rRNA". It matches the Rfam family "Eukaryotic small subunit ribosomal RNA", at positions 592 to 1018 of the family's 1831-position model. The record is from RNAcentral.